AUUAAUAUAAAGAGUCGAACCUGCCCAAUGAUAUUUUUAAAUGGCCGCGGUACUCUGACCGUGCAAAGGUAGCAUAAUCAUUUGCCUUAUAAUUGAAGGCUAGCAUGAACGGUUUGACAAGAGUAGCACUGUCUCUACUAAAUUUUAUAGAAUUUGGUUUUUAGGUGAAGAAACCUGAAUAAAAUUGAAAGACAAGAAGACCCUAUCGAGCUUUAAAAAAUUUUUCUUAAAGAUUUUAGUUGGGGCGACUAAGGAACAAUAAAAGCUUCUUUUUUGUAUACAAACUUAUAUGUUUUGAUCCAAAAAAUGAUUAAUAGAAUUAGUUACCGUAGGGAUAACAGCAUAAUCUUUUUUGAGAGUUCUUAUCGAAAAAAAGGUUUGUGACCUCGAUGUUGGACUAGGAUAUCCUAAAGGUGUAGAAGCCUUUAAAGGUUGGUCUGUUCGACCAUUAACA
RNAcentral lists this ribosomal RNA (454 nucleotides) under Ohridohauffenia minuta. RNAcentral describes it as "partial 16S ribosomal RNA". It matches the Rfam family "Bacterial large subunit ribosomal RNA", at positions 1839 to 2593 of the family's 2925-position model. Lineage: Eukaryota; Metazoa; Mollusca; Gastropoda; Littorinimorpha; Hydrobiidae. The record is from RNAcentral.